Small nuclear RNA from Nymphaea colorata (pocket water lily), 103 nucleotides. Lineage: Eukaryota; Viridiplantae; Streptophyta; Magnoliopsida; Nymphaeales; Nymphaeaceae. The record is from RefSeq and is a predicted model, not a curated record.
GUCUCUUCAGGGACACUUGAUAAAAUUGGAACAAUACAUAAAAGAUUAGCAUGGCUCCUACAUAAGGAUGCCACGUACAAAUCAAGAAAAGGUCUUUAUGAGU